UCAGCUGUCAGUGCAUGAGUGGACUGAAUGCUAUGAAAUUGCAUACUUUUCUGUUGGAUGUUUCAUGGGAGAGACUUUGCUUAGAAGUUAGCUGAGUAAUCAUGUGAUCUUGGUAUGAGUGUUAAGCAUUCAGCAUGGCUUUGAGUCUGAACAAAAGAGCAAACAAGCCCUGGUGAGAUGAAGAAGGGAGCAGGAGCCUGGAGAUGCCUGAAGAUGUUGGUGAGAAUCACAACCUGGAGUGCAUGGGGGUGGUCUCCUCACCAACCCUUGGCACAGUGGGUUUCAUCUUCACCUUGAAGGAGAGCAGGCCAGACAAGAUCUCAGCACAGCUUCGCAACUGCGUCCACCCUCUCUUCUCUUCUAAGAGUUCACUUGGAAGGCUUGGCAAAACUCAGCUCUCAGGUCACUUCUGGCUUCCAACAUUCUAUAAAUGCUCUCAGAAAACAAAAGUCCAAGAGGGACCCCCUUCACCCAUGCAUCCUCUGCGACCCCUCUACCUCUCUCUUCAGACAUUUCUGGGUUGCAUGGACCUUUAAUCACAAGUUCAUUUGGGGAUGGAAACAAUGCAUAUUGUGCAGUAUUAAGACAGGCUGCAUUUACUAACAAGAUAUUUAUGUUGUUUGUAGAGGAUUUCCUAUCCCCAGGACCUGGCCCAGGCUGAGAGAAGCUGUGUGGAGUGGAAGAUGGACAUUGAGGAAGAAGGGCAGGUGUGGUCUCACCCAGAAUGGUUCCUGCUGCUUCCGCGGUGCCCAGGCUUUUCUCACGGCCUCUGCUGGGUUCUCCCCUGGGUGCUGUGGAUGCAUCCUGCCUGCUGGAAAUUCUGUGCUCUCUGUUUCCAUCCCUUUGUCGUGGUAAUGACCGUAUACCUCUCCCCUGUACCCUCCUCUGCCUGCUCUCCGUGCAGGCCCCUCUCCCUCUGGUUGUCCCAUCAGCAUUUCCCCACAGCUCGUUGUUCCUCCUUCCUCUUUUCUGGUGACCUUUCUACUGAUUGCAUUGUACCUCUUUCCCUGAUAUUAAAGAUGUUUUUAAAAACAACAG
Molecule: long non-coding RNA, 1038 nt
Filed under: Homo sapiens (human)
Lineage: Eukaryota; Metazoa; Chordata; Mammalia; Primates; Hominidae
Description: long non-coding RNA NONHSAT220972.1
Source: RNAcentral